This 1378-nucleotide unclassified non-coding RNA is filed under the name Hevea brasiliensis (rubber tree). Lineage: Eukaryota; Viridiplantae; Streptophyta; Magnoliopsida; Malpighiales; Euphorbiaceae. The record is from RNAcentral.
UUUCUCUAACAAUCCUUAUUCGCAUUAUUCUUCAGAAAUAUGAAAUAUGUGGAGCAUAAAAAAGAUAACAUUUCAUUAAGAUAAUCAAUUGUAAAUAAGGUGAAUAGUGAGAACAUUUACUCAAGAAUUAGUUUGGUUGAAGUAAGAGGCUUGCCUGGCGUUGAUGAAAUCCAUUAUGCUUGAUCCAUCACCGACCUUCACCACUCUUCCAUUUUCCAUAUAAAAAGCUCCAUCAGCAUACUCGAGUUCUUCCAAUCGAUGGGUCACCCAUAAAGCUGUAAUUUCAUCAGAUGCAACCAAGGAGUUCUUGACUGCUUUAAUCACCCCAAUCUGAUCAUUUUGGUCCAAGAAUGUUGUGAGCUCAUCCAACAAAAGCACCUUGCAUGCUUCAGCUAGAGCACCAGCAAUGGCAACCCUUUGUUUUUGACCACCACUCAGAGUUUGAACAGGCCUCUGAUGAGUGCAGAAGAAAGUAAUUACGCAAUACAUCUAAUUACAAUACGUUCAGAAAGCUAAACAAUGUACAAGCCUACUUGCAUGUAGGUAGACAUGCCCACAUCAUCCAGAGCUUUUGACACUCUUUGCCUAACUUCAUCCUCAGUCAGGAUGAACUUACCAAGGCCAAAUGCCACAUCAGCUUCUACUGUAGGCAUCACAACCUGAUGGUCCGGAUUUUGGAAAACAAAGCUUUUAGGCCUUUUCACAUACAACGUUCCACUGGUUGGCUGUAAAAGACCAGCCACAAUCUAUCUAAUUCACAACACAGAUUCUCAUCAUUACUUUACUCCAAAUGCACAAUUUAUAUCACUUAAAAUGUUAUCAUGAAUACUAAACCCAAAAUAAAAACAUUGGUUAUGUCAAAAGAGUUUCAAUUUUUCUCAAUCACUAACUCCAUGUGUCAAUGAAAAGCAGAACCAUAGUUAGUCUAAUUAACUCCCAUUGUCAAUUAUAAGUCAAUUGAUUAGCUAAUUGCUUAAGUAAACCUACCAUCAACUACACAGAAAUCAUUUAAUGUAUAACUCAGGAGUUUCAAACCAAAAGCUACAUAUAAAAAUGAAAUUUUUACUAGAACAACAAAGACAUAGGGAAAUUCUCAAAAGCUAAUAUAAUUUUAUUCCCCAAUAUAUGAUUUUUUUUUUUAAAUCUUAUUCCCCAAUGUAUAAUUUUUUUUAAAAUGAAAAGUGAUAUUUAACAUAAUUAUUUUCUAUUGACUGUCAAAUCAUUUUCUCUCUUUGAUGGAAGCCAGCUUUUUGUAUAAAUCAUUUGUUUAACCUAUUCUUAAAAAAUAAUAUUGUAAGUAGUAGUUACCAAAUCCUAAUUAUGUACAAAAUCAAUAGGUAAAACACCCCCCAUGACUUUCCAAAUUAAUAGAUGGUUA